GAAACGGCAACUAAUACCGUAUACGCCCUACGGGGGAAAAAUUUAUUGCUAUUAUAUGAGCCUAUAUUAGAUUAGUUAGUUGGUGAGGUAAAGGCUUACCAAGACAAUGAUCUAUAGCUGAUCUGAGAGGAUGAUCAGCCACACUGGAACUGAGAUACGGUCCAGACUCCUACGGGAGGCAGCAGUGGGGAAUAUUGGACAAUGGGCGAAAGCCUGAUCCAGCCAUGCCGCAUGAGUGAAGAAGGCCUUCGGGUUGUAAAGCUCUUUUAGUGAGGAAGAUAAUGACGGUACUCACAGAAGAAGUCCUGGCUAACUCCGUGCCAGCAGCCGCGGUAAUACGGAGAGGGCUAGCGUUAUUCGGAAUCAUUGGGCGUAAAGGGCGCGUAGGCGGGUUAGUAAGUUAAAAGUGAAAUCCCAAGGCUCAACCUUGGAACUGCUUUUAAAACUGCUAGUCUAGAGAUUGAAAGAGGAUAGAGGAAUUCCUAGUGUAGAGGUGAAAUUCGUAAAUAUUUGGAGGAAUACCAGUGGCGAAGGCGUCUAUCUGGUUCAAAUCUGACGCUGAGGCGCGAAGGCGUGGGGAGCAAACAGGAUUAGAUACCCUGGUAGUCCACGCUGUAAACGAUGAAUGUUAAAUAUGGGAAGUUUACUUUCUGUAUUAUAGCUAACGCGUUAAACAUUCCGCCUGGGGACUACGGUCGCAAGAUUAAAACUCAAAGGAAUUGACGGGGACCCGCACAAGCGGUGGAGCAUGUGGUUUAAUUCGAUGCAACGCGAAAAACCUUACCACUCCUUGACAU
Molecule: ribosomal RNA, 797 nt
Filed under: uncultured bacterium
Lineage: Bacteria
Description: bacterial SSU rRNA
Rfam family: Bacterial small subunit ribosomal RNA
Source: RNAcentral